Molecule: long non-coding RNA, 1304 nt
Filed under: Mus musculus (house mouse)
Lineage: Eukaryota; Metazoa; Chordata; Mammalia; Rodentia; Muridae
Description: predicted gene 29590
Source: RNAcentral
CAGGGGAAACAAAGCUGGGCGUGCAUGCCAAUGUCCUUGUCAGUCUUGGAUCCUGGGCCUCCAAGGGCUCCGUUGUAGCCUUCAGUGUCCACAAAGCACUGGUGUGAGGUUGAGACAGGUGAAGAGCAGGCAGAGGGACUCAGCCUCGCCUCAGAUCCACAGCCUGCCCAGGAGGAAGCCUGAAGCACACUGUGGGUGAGGUCAGAUCUUGGCAGAGUAUCCGGAUGCCUCGCAAAGCCAGCUUCCCCAGCUGGGUCUGGAAUGGGGUCCACAGUGCCCCUCCAAAUAUGGUAGUUUUACUGGUUUUACCCAAUCUUGGCAACCUCCAGAGCCCGUGCAGCCAAAUCUGUGGCUUUGAAUAUGAGAAUCACCUCAACCAGCAUUCUUUCUAAGGCAACGUGUGAAGAGGGUUGGGUGAGUCAGGAAAGCGUCUCUGUGACCUCUGUGAAGUAAAGGAUGGAUCCCAAAAGGAUUGUGAGAGCCUUGGAUUUGCAGCCAAAUCAGACAGAGGGGAAAUGCAGCCUGGAAAUGCACAGUUUCUUCCCAAAUCUAAGGAAGUCUGGCAAGACUGAGAGCCCUCUUGUUUCUUUGCAUCAUUUUAUUUUAUUUUAUUUUAUUUUAUUUUAUUUUUGCUACUGUUGUUUUGGAGAUAAGGUCCCAAGUGGUCUAGGCUGACUUUGAACUGGUUAUGUGGCCAAGGUUGACUCUGAACUCAUGAUAGAGGUAUAGAUAUCUUUGACUCCGUUUCCCAAGUGCUUAGAACACAGGUAUGCCCCAUUCCACUUGGCAAAGCCAAGAUUUACACUUGUGGGAUCUGAUGCUAUCACCAGGUAGAUGUUGUCAGACCUGAAUUGCAUUGUGGGACACCCAGCUGGUCACAGAAGAUUGAUGAAUGUGAAGAAUCUACAUCUGGCCACAAAAGAAUCCCGUGUUGGGAAGCCCAGGGAACAGAAACAGGCAUGGGGUCUCUUGCCUCUCAAGACACUAGGCUGGUGCUCUCUAGAGACCUGUGCGGGAGCAACAUCUGUCCGGAGACCUUGAAGCCGCAUUCCAUCAAAGAUUCUCUAAAACAGUAAGUCCAAUACAGGAGCCACCAGCUGGCAAUCACUUGACACAUGGCCACUGGAUGUGCUAAAUGUAAAAAGUGCACAUGCUUUGAAGGACAUGUGGAAUGAAACAUUCAAAGCAGCUCCGUAAUAAUUGUUUUUAACAUCGAUUAUGCUAAACUGGUAAUAUUCUUCUUUUACUAGUUAAAUAUAUUGUUUACAUUAUUCUUAUUGUAAAAUACAUAUGGUGUAAGCUUA